RNAcentral lists this ribosomal RNA (467 nucleotides) under uncultured bacterium. RNAcentral describes it as "partial 16S ribosomal RNA". It matches the Rfam family "Bacterial small subunit ribosomal RNA", at positions 28 to 507 of the family's 1533-position model. The record is from RNAcentral.
GAUGAACGCUGGCGGCGCGCCUAACACAUGCAAGUCGAACGAUUAAAGCACCUUCGGGUGUGUAUAAAUUGGCGAACGGCUGAGUAACACGUGGGCAACCUGCCCCUUUCAUUGGGAUAGCCACGGGAAACCGUGGAUAAUACCGAAUACUUCGAGACUCCCGCUUGGAAGACUCGAGAAAUCUCCGGCGGAGUGGCAUGGGCCCGCGGCCUGUUAGCUUGGUGGUGGGGUAACGGCCUACCAAUGCAAUGAUGGGUUGCUGGGGUGAGAGGGCGACAAGCCAAAUUAGGACGGAGACACGGCACAGACUCCUACGGGAGGCGGCAGUGGGGAAGCGUGCACAAUGGACGAAAGCCUAAUGCAGCGACGCCGCGUGCGGGAUGAAGGCCAUCGGGUUGGAAAGCGCUUUCAGCAGGGACGAGGCGAAAGUGACGGUACCUGCAGAAGAAGCCCCGGCUAACUACGUG